GAAAUCCAUGACAAUGGGCCCAUUCAUGCUGGAAGGGACUCCUCUGGUGGUCCACUUGGGCUCCUGAACUCCAUGACAGACUCUUAACCUUCCUCAGAGAGCAGGGCAUUCUAGGACACUUCCACCUGACCUCCCUUCCUGUAUCCUUCACUCUAAAGGAGUCUGCAGUCUACAGUUUUGGCCAACCUUUGUGCCAGCCCAUCUUCUCUCACAGUGAAUCUGGUGGAAAAUUUGAUUUUUGUCAUUAUGGUGAAUGCUGACUCUGCCAGAGUUACACAUUCCUACGCCUUUUAUUGCAAUCCUCUUUUGCAGUGGAUUCUACAAGCAAUUAGAGUAUUCUCAACCGGAGUUUUAAAUUCCAAGAUGACUGGACAAAGCCUGCUCUAGUAUACAAGAUGGAAUAUAGGAUGUUGAAGAAUUUUUCCAAUUCUAAGAAACUGUGAUUGAAAAAUUUUUAUCCUGUUUGUUGAAUUAUGAAUGACAGUUGCAAAAUUAUCUUAAUUGUAUUUGACAAUAUAAAGCCUAAUGUAAUUCACAAUCAUAAAUCUUUCAAGCAAUGAAAGUUAAAUAAUACUAUCUUUGUUAAAAUACCAUUUCUUUCGUUGGUUGGUUAGUGCAUUAACGCAAACAAAUGCUUUUGGUAACUAUGAUUAAAGAAGCAUUUUCAAAGGUG
Non-coding RNA from Equus caballus (horse), 673 nucleotides. The record is from RefSeq and is a predicted model, not a curated record. Lineage: Eukaryota; Metazoa; Chordata; Mammalia; Perissodactyla; Equidae.